GAUCAAGUCGAGAGUGUCGAUCGA
This 24-nucleotide non-coding RNA is filed under the name Arabidopsis thaliana (thale cress). Lineage: Eukaryota; Viridiplantae; Streptophyta; Magnoliopsida; Brassicales; Brassicaceae. The record is from RNAcentral.